RNAcentral lists this ribosomal RNA (245 nucleotides) under uncultured bacterium. Its description in RNAcentral is "partial 16S ribosomal RNA". It matches the Rfam family "Bacterial small subunit ribosomal RNA", at positions 524 to 768 of the family's 1533-position model. The record is from RNAcentral.
UACGUAGGGUGCAAGCGUUGUUCGGAAUUACUGGGCGUAAAGGGAGCGUAGGUGGAAACUUAAGUUAGGAGUUUAAUUCUCGGGCUUAACCCGAGGCUGGCUCUUAAUACUGAGUUCCUUGAGUAUGGGAGAGGAUGAUGGAAUUCCAGGUGUAGCGGUGGAAUGCGUAGAUAUCUGGAAGAACACCAGCAGCGAAGGCGGUCAUCUGGCCCAAUACUGACACUGAGGCUCGAAAGCUCGGGGAG